UACGAAGGUGGCAAGCGUUGUUCGGAUUUACUGGGCGUACAGGGAGCGUAGGCGGUUCGGUAAGCCCUCUGUGAAAUCUCCAGGCUUAACCUGGAACAGUCGGAGGGGACUGCUGGGCUAGAGGACGGGAGAGGAGCGCGGAAUUCCAGGUGUAGCGGUGAAAUGCGUAGAUAUCUGGAGGAACACCGGUGGCGAAGGCGGCAUCCUGGACCGGCAUUGACGCUGAGGCGCGAAAGCCAGGGGAGCAAACGGG
RNAcentral lists this ribosomal RNA (253 nucleotides) under uncultured bacterium. Its description in RNAcentral is "partial 16S ribosomal RNA". It matches the Rfam family "Bacterial small subunit ribosomal RNA", at positions 524 to 776 of the family's 1533-position model. The record is from RNAcentral.